UGGGGGAAAAUUAGUAUAUAAAAUUAUAAUAAAAAUAAUUUUAAUAAAAUAUGAUGGGGUUAAAGUAUUUUAUAAAGAAAAAAUUGUUUAAUUUAUAAAGAAUUAGUAUUGUGAAAGAAAUUUGAAAUAUUUGAAAAUUAAUUAAUUUAAUAGUAAAUUUUAAUUAUUGUAUCUUGUGUAUCAGAGUUUAUUAAUAAAGAUUUUUAUAAAAAAAAAAUUCUCGAAUUUGAAAGAGUUAAUUAGUUAAAAAAAUUAUUGUUGCAAAAAUAUUUUUCAUAAUUAAUUAGAAAUGAAAUGUUAAUCGUUUUUAAAUAUAUCUAGUUUUUUUAGAAAAAAAUUUAAUUUUAAAUUAUUUUAAUUAAAAAUUUAAAUAAUAAAAUUUUUAAAAAAUUAAAUUUAAUAUUUUAAGGGAUAAGCUUUAAUUUAAAUUUUUAUAAUAGUUUUUUUUUUAUUAAUUGAAAAUUUUAAAAUUUAUAUUGUUUAAAAAUUAUAAUUUUUUAUAAAUAAUUUCAAAAUAAAAUAAAAUUUAAAAAAUUAAAUUUAAAUUUUUAUAAAAUAAGUAAAAUUUAAUAUUAUAAUUUUAGUUAUAAUGAUAAAAUUAGUAUAUGAAUAUAUAAUAUAAAAAUUAUUAAAUAUGAAUUAGUGGAAAAUUAAUUAUAAGGAAUUCGGCAAAUUUUUAUAUUCACUUGUUUAUCAAAAACAUGUCUUUUUGAAAUAAUUUAAAGUCUAAUCUGCCCACUGAUAAAAAUUAAAGGGCUGCAGUAUUUUGACUGUACAAAGGUAGCAUAAUCAUUAGUCUCUUAAUUGGUGACUUGUAUGAAAGAUUGGAUGAGAUAUAAACUGUCUUAUUAUUAUUAAUAAAAUUUAAUUUUUUAGUUAAAAAGCUAAAAUAUUUUUAAAAGACGAGAAGACCCUAUAGAGUUUUAUAUUAAAGUUAAUUAUAAAUUUUUAUAUUAAUGUUAAGUUUGAAUUAAUUUUAAUAUUUUGUUGGGGUGAUAAAAAAAUAAAAUUAACUUUUUUUUUAUAUUAUAUAUAUAUAUAUAUAUAUAUAUAUAUAACAUUAAUUAAUGAAUAAAUGAUCCAUAAAUUAUGAUUAAAAGAUUAAAUUACCUUAGGGAUAACAGCGUAAUUUUUUUUUUUAGUUCAAAUAAAAAAGAAAGUUUGCGACCUCGAUGUUGGAUUAAGAUAAAAUUUAAAUGCAAAAGUUUAAAAUUUUGAUCUGUUCGAUCAUUAAAAUCUUACAUGAUCUGAGUUCAAACCGGUGUAAGCCAGGUUGGUUUCUAUCUUUAUAUACAUUAAAUAUUUUAGUACGAAAGGAUCAAAUAUUUAAAAUAAUUUUAUUUUAUAAGAAUAUUACUAAAUGUGUUUGUUUAAAUUAA
RNAcentral lists this ribosomal RNA (1379 nucleotides) under Grapholita delineana. RNAcentral's name for it is "16S ribosomal RNA". The record is from RNAcentral. Lineage: Eukaryota; Metazoa; Arthropoda; Insecta; Lepidoptera; Tortricidae.